CCGGGAUCAGGGGACGGGGCUCGCUCUCCUCCCGGGCCCGGGCCCCCGACGCAAGAUGGCUGUGUCGCGUCGGCCUCUAAACAAUGUGUGGAGCGCGCAGCUCCUGCACCAGGGCCUGGUGGCUUGUCCUGCCCGCCCGUGGGGGCCGUGUGAUCUGUUUUCGUUUCAGGAAACCGAAAUAUUUAUUGUUGGAUUUAUCCAGGAAGGCUGUUCUGCAUUAGUUAAAUGCAUCAUAUCUUCAAGAAAUGUUAAAUGACAUGGAUGCUUCCAGCCCUGAAGCAUCAGACUCCAGGUUCUUUGGCUUUUGGACUCUUGGAGUUACACCAGUGGUUUCCCAGGAACUCUCCAGCCUUGGGCCACAGACUGAAGUUUGCACUGUCGGCUUCCCUGCUUUUGAGGUUUUGUGACUCAGACUGAGCCAACUGGCUUCCUUGCUCUUCAGGUUGCGGACGGCCUAUCGUGGGACUUUGCCUUGUGAUUGUGUGAGUCAAUUGUCCUUAAUAAACUGCCUUUCAUAUAUACAUCUAUCCUAUUAGUUCUGUCCCUCUGGAGAACUCUGACUGCUGAUACACAUAGCAAGACCCCGUCUCUAAAAAAAAGAGAGAAAGGCACAUUGGAAAAUAGAGAAUAGAUCAAGAAAACAAUCCACUCAUAAUUCCAUUACCCUAUCACUACCACUAGUAGCAUUCCAAAAAGGUUUUCAUUAUUAAUUCAGGUUGGUGCUAUAGUGGGUACACAGGGUCAAGGGGAAGGUACCUGCAAAGUCUAAGUGAAGCAAAGACUAUCCUUUGAGAAUGAAAUUAGGAAAAAUUGUUGAGAUCAGCCCUCUAUAGCAAUGGCCCAAUCUAUGAAACUGAAAUAACUUUGCUGAGACAUUUCAGCUUUCUCAUCUGUAAAAUGGCAAUAAUACUUGAAUUCCCUCCUUUUCAGACUUGUUGUGAGAUUAAAAUAAAAUAAUAAAAAGCAACAAAUUAUAAAGUCAUUAGUAAAUGGAUGUAUCCUACUGUGUCAUGAUUAUCCAAUUUAUUUAAAUGACAUAGGCAAUCAAAUUUCAUAAUUCAGGAUUUAAAAAAUUGUACUUGGGGCCUCUCAAUUCCUUUCCUGUCUGAUUUGGUGAAAUAUAAUAGGUAGGUAGUUGGUAAAUAAGUCUUGUUUCUCACAGGUUGUAUAUAUCUAUCUGGUUGGAAAUAAAAUAAAGAUAUGGCAGACUAAUGCCUAUUUGCACGUGCUUUUAGAACAUCUCUACUGUACUGUAGCACCAUUAGAUGAUUAGUAUUAGUAACUAAUGCUCUGGAAGUAUGAGAAUAAUAAAAUAAUGAUGAAAAC
RNAcentral lists this long non-coding RNA (1326 nucleotides) under Homo sapiens (human). RNAcentral's name for it is "HSALNT0023023". The record is from RNAcentral. Lineage: Eukaryota; Metazoa; Chordata; Mammalia; Primates; Hominidae.